GCUUUUUCCGGUCUUUUCCAAGCUCAGCCGAGAAGCGAGGCAGCUGCAAGCUGUGAGAAGAGAACAAAAACGGUAGAAAACGCGGAGAAUAAAGAGGGUCGGAACACAUCCACUGGAGGCACGGAGCCGUGUGACUGAACAAAGGAGAAACGUUACGUCGGCUAAUCGUUUACCCUUCGUCUGGAGAGCUGUUGCGAAGCGUGAUACCAGCGUGUUCCGCCUUGAUAUUCACAGAGCAACGGUCAGGUUUUUUUAGUUGAGAGCAGUUCAACUGUGGUCCAGGACAACCUUCUGGCUGAAACCGAUGGCGAGCCAAGUUCCCUGAAGAAAGUCAAGCACCAGGAUAUACAUGUACCCAUUCAUACUCACAUUGAACAGUUAGAUUACAAUACAAGGAACCUUGGAAUUUGAACUGAACUGCGGUAACUCUGAAACAGAGCACCUGAAGAGAACUUUCCAUACCAUUUUAUUUUUAAGGGCCCAGGGACAAUAUUUUAUUUUUCUACACUGAGUGCAGAAUUAUUAGGCAAGUGAGUAUUUUGACCACAACAUCCUUUUAAUGCAUGUUGUCCCACUCCAAGCUGUUUAGGCUUGAAAGCCUACUACCAAUUAAGUAUAUUAGGUGCUGUGCAUCUGUGUAAUGAGAGGGGGUGUGGUCUAAUGACAUCAACACCCUAUAUCAGGUGUGCAUAAUUAUUAGGCAACCUCUUUUCCUCUGGCAAAAUGGGUCAGAAGAGAGAUCUGACAGACUUUGAAAAGUCUAAAAUUAUGAGAUGUCUUGCAGAUGGAUGCAGCACUCUUGAAAUUGCGAAGAUGUUGAAACGUGAUCACCGAACAAUCAAGCGUUUCAUUGCAAAUAGUCAACAGGGUCGAAAGAAGCGUGUGGAAAAAAAAAGGCGCAAAAUAACUGCACAUGAUCUGCGGAAAAUCAAGCGUGAAGCUAACAAGCAGCCAUUAGCAUCCAGUUCUGCCAUAUUCCAGAGUUGCAACAUUCCUGGAGUGUCAAAGAGUACAAGGUGUGCAAUACUGAGGGACAUGGCCAAGGUAAGGAAGGCUGAAAAACGACCACCACUGCGUAAGGCACACAAGAUAAAACGUCAAGACUGGGCCAAGAAAUAUCUUAAGACUGAUUUUUCUAAGGUGCUGUGGUCUGAUGAGAUGAGAGUGACUCUUGAUGGGCCAGAUGGAUGGGCCUGUGGCUGGAUCAGUAAUGGGCACAGAGCUCCACUCUGACUCAGACGCCGUGGAGGUGGAGUACUGCUAUGGGCUGUUUUCAUCAAAGAUGAGCUUGUUGGACCUUUUCAAGUUGAGGAUGGACUCAAACUCAACUCCCAGACCUACUGCCAGUUCCUGGAAGAAACCUUCUUCAAGCAGUGGUAUAGGAAAAAGUCAGCAUCUUUCAAGAAGAACAUGAUUUUCAUGCAGGAUAAUGCUCCAUCUCAUGCGUCCAAAUACUCCACUGCGUGGCUAGCCAGUAAAGGCCUGAAAGGUGAAAAAAUAAUGACAUGGCCCCCUUGUUCACCUGACCUAAACCCCAUAGAGAACCUGUGGUCCAUUAUAAAACGUGAGGUCUACAAAGAGGGAAAACGGUACACCUCUCUGAACAGCGUCUGGGAGGCCGUGGUUGCUGCUGCACACAAUGUUGGUCGUGAACAGAUAAAGAAAUUGACAGAAUCUAUGGAUGGAAGGCUUUUGAGUGUCCUCAUGAAGAAGGGUGGCUAUAUUGGUCACUGGUUUGUUUUUGUUUUGUGUUUGAAUGUCAUAUGUUUAUUUGCAAAUCUGGAGUUGUCAUAUCAGUGUACCUGGUGAAAAUAAAUAAGUGAAAUGGCUACAUAUUUGGUUUUUAUUAAGUUGCCUAAUAAUUCUGCACAGUGAAAGUUACCUGAACACAUACAUAUUCUCCUAAAAUGGCCAAAACUAAAAACACCCCACUCUAACUUCCAUACAUAUUCAGCUUUGAUAUUUGAGACUUUUUGGUUGACUGAGAACAUAGUUGUUGUUCAAUUAUAAAAUUAAUCCUCAAAAAUACAACUUGCCUAAUAAUUCUGCACUCAGUGUAGUGUGCACACUACCUUGUAUUUUUCUAAUUGUUUGGGGUAUUUUGUACUUUGUAAACAAUAUAAGAGUGGCUACUCAACUUUCA
Molecule: long non-coding RNA, 2143 nt
Organism: Neoarius graeffei (lesser salmon catfish)
Lineage: Eukaryota; Metazoa; Chordata; Actinopteri; Siluriformes; Ariidae
Exons: 3
Source: RefSeq, a predicted model, not a curated record